RNAcentral lists this ribosomal RNA (373 nucleotides) under uncultured organism. RNAcentral's name for it is "partial 16S ribosomal RNA". It matches the Rfam family "Bacterial small subunit ribosomal RNA", at positions 527 to 896 of the family's 1533-position model. The record is from RNAcentral.
GUAGGGUGCAAGCGUUAAUCGGGAAUUACUGGGGCGUAAAGCGUGCGCAGGCGGUUUUGUAAGUCUGAUGUGAAAUCCCCGGGGCUCAACCUGGGGAAUUGCAUUGGAGACUGCAAGGCUAGAAUCUGGCAGAGGGGGGUAGAAUUCCACGUGUAGCAGUGAAAUGCGUAGAUAUGUGGAGGAACACCGAUGGCGAAGGCAGCCCCCUGGGUCAAGAUUGACGCUCAUGCACGAAAGCGUGGGGAGCAAACAGGAUUAGAUACCCUGGUAGUCCACGCCCUAAACGAUGUCUACUAGUUGUCGGGUCUUAAUUGACUUGGUAACGCAGCUAACGCGUGAAGUAGACCGCCUGGGGAGUACGGUCGCAAGAUUA